GAGUUUGAUCGUGGCUCAGAUUGAACGCUGGCGGCAGGCCUAACACAUGCAAGUCGAGCGGUAGAGAGAAGCUUGCUUCUCUUGAGAGCGGCGGACGGGUGAGUAAUGCCUAGGAAUCUGCCUGGGUAGUGGGGGAUAACGUUCGGAAACGGACGCUAAUACCGCAUACGUCCUACGGGAGAAAGCAGGGGACCUUCGGGCCUUGCGCUAUCAGAUGAGCCUAGGUCGGAUUAGCUAGUUGGUGAGGUAAUGGCUCACCAAGGCGACGAUCCGUAACUGGUCUGAGAGGAUGAUCAGUCACACUGGAACUGAGACACGGUCCAGACUCCUACGGGAGGCAGCAGUGGGGAAUAUUGGACAAUGGGCGAAAGCCUGAUCCAGCCAUGCCGCGUGUGUGAAGAAGGUCUUCGGAUUGUAAAGCACUUUAAGUUGGGAGGAAGGGUUGUAGAUUAAUACUCUGCAAUUUUGACGUUACCGACAGAAUAAGCACCGGCUAACUCUGUGCCA
RNAcentral lists this ribosomal RNA (507 nucleotides) under uncultured microorganism. RNAcentral's name for it is "bacterial SSU rRNA". It matches the Rfam family "Bacterial small subunit ribosomal RNA", at positions 9 to 510 of the family's 1533-position model. The record is from RNAcentral.